CCCUUUGGAGAGCGGUCAGUUUGCGCAAGGCCGCAGGACCGCGGCGUCCCCACAGAAACUGUACGGACAGCCCAGAAGCCUCUGUCCCCAAGGACACUGGACGUGAUCACCGUGGUUUUAAAGCCGACCAGUUGGUCCUUCCGGAAAUUGUUCAAGGCCUUUUGCCCUGGCAGGUUUUGCACAUUUCUCCUUGCGCCUUUUUGUCGUGUCAAGUACAUUUAUGCAUGUACAGCCUGACUUGCCCUCGGCACAUUCAGGAGAUGGGGCCAACCACAACGAUGAAACCACAGAUCUGCAAUCUGGGGCCACCUUCCACACGUGCUACUCAGCCAGCAUCUGGAGAGCAUCAAGUUGAUGGAAGCGGAGUUUCUCCCAUGACCCAACAGCACCAGAGACAGUUCAAACAUCGGGAGAGCCACAACAUUUCAGCAAAAGCACCGUUUUUGGCCAAGCCACCUUUCUGAGGUGGCCUGUGAGUAAAGGAAAGUUGCUGCUGCGUAACCUUCACGGCGGAGAUGAGGAGAGAGUGUUCGGAGCCGGAAAUCCAGCCCUCAACCCGGUGAAUGACAGUUUUAUCUAUUUAAACCACAAAGGAAGUGAUUUCAAGCCUGCGAAGGAAGGAAUCCAAAACAGCUCGCUUGGUCACCCUUUUCUCCGCGUGGUCCUCGUAACAACUCUUUGGGGUAGGCAACGCCAGUGCUUCUUGGCAACCCAACAAGCGCAGAUGCUCCCCUGCAUCCCACAGCAGUGCAAAUUGUACACAUUCCCGGCCAAAACAAAAACUGAAAACCACAGCCCCCGUCAAACGAGCAGAAUUUGGAAUGGAGGAAGACAUAAAAUGAGCAGAGCGAAAUCUGUGCGGCCCCGAGUGGCCGGUCGGCGGGCUCUCUCUCUAACUGGUGUCUCCAACAUGACGGGGUAGUGCAGUCUGCUCAGGCGGGGAUAAUCCGCAACGUGCCCCAAGCAGGAAGCAGUAAAAGUCGGCCGAACCACAGGGACUGCUUAAUUAAAGGCACAGGGGACCCUUAGACAUCUCACCUGGCAUUCCCCUCUGCCCAUGUUUUUCAUGCAGUCCUUUUAGAGUACCCAAACUCUAACCCAGCCAGCAGUAGUUCGUAGUUCUUUUAUUAUUUAUGCCUCCGGCUACCAGUCUUUUCCUUUCCAGCUGCUGUCAUUAAGACAACCUGAAUUCAAGAGGUUGUUUAAUUUAUCUUAAGCACUUAAUUCAGCGCUGCACAAAUAUUUUAAAAGUCAACAAGGCUCAGAGAGAAGGCUGAUCCUUGAAAUAAUAAAAUAUCAAGCAAGAAAAAGCGGGGGUUAAAAGGAGAGGCAGAGGAAGAGGAGAGGUUGGAAAGAGAACUUGUUCCCGCUACUUAGGAAAAAGCAAACUGAAAUAAAUGAGUUUAAAUUUGUUUUGCUUUCAGAGCAGCCCAUUAGGAUGUUCUCAUGUCCUUGCUGCCUUUUGCAAUCCCACCUUCUGCACCUUCAUCUCAGAAUUGCAUUCUAACCCGUUUGAGGGAAUGUGCUGCCAGGUACACAGGACUCGGGACAAUUUUUGCGGAGAAAAGCAGCAGCGACGGUGACGAAGUGAUAUCCACCUCGAGACCUGCCUAUGAAACUGGAUUUCUAUCACCCCGAUUGCCAUUUUCCUGGCAAAAAGACAGCACUGAAGCCAAACAGAACAUCAUUCGGCAAUGUCAGGGCUGUGGACUUGGGCGCCUCCUUCCCAGGACAGCAGCUCGCCUGACGCUCGGGCUCCCCCAUUACGACUGCCAUCCUGCUGCGCCAGCUUGGAGGGCUGCAACACGAAUGUCCCCAGAUUAUCUCAGCCUGACCCGUCGGCUCGGGUGCCAAGAUGCUGCGGUGAAUUAUGGCCGGGCAGGAGACGGCACUGGCAGCUCUCCGCCAGGCCGUCUCCGGAAGACAUGCAGCCUGGUGAGCUUGCCCUCAGCCGGGCUUCCCCAUCAUUCCUCCCGAAGCAGCGUGAUGCACAGGCCCAGACGAGGAGACGUUUCGGGGUCCUCCCCCCCCGCCCCACUCAUUCUGAGAACGCCUCGUUGGGGCUCGGAUGCUGCGAGACGGGCCCCAAACGGUCUGAGCCACGUUGCAAGGGGCGGUACGGCAUAUGACUGUUGCGCAACCCCGUCAAAAACCCGGAAGCGAGGAAUUCCCAUGCGGACGUGGAAAGUCCACAGGGCCGUGUCAGGUGCGCACAACCGGCUCCCCUUACGGACACACAAUCCAGCCAAAUCCCCGGGAUGACAACAGCAGCAGGAAGAGAACAGUCCCCUUUGUGGAGGGGAUUAAAUGCUCCCUUACCUAAUGUAUGGUUCCUCCCACGUCCAUUAUUUUCUCUUGACAGCCGGAAUUGUGCAAAGGUUAAAGCCACCCCCUGCCGCCUCCAGAUGUGCUGGACCACAACUCCCAUUGGCCGGCAGAGACGGCGUGCUGGACUAGGACCGGUUCGAUCCCCCACUCCUCCGUGGGACUUCAGGGCCUGCUCCACCCUGGCCUCCUGCGCGCUGCAGAGGAUUCUGGGAGCAUGUCAGGGGAACCGCUCGGACGGCGGCCUUCCCUUCGGGACAGCUCUGGCACACCCGACACCCUCCUGCGCCCGCCCGUUGCCGGAAAAAAAGCCAUCACAGCAGGAAGGAAGGAAGGCAGGCAGGCAGGCUGCCCUUUGAGGCCAUCAUUAAUCACUUAACAUUUCUAUCCUGCCUUGAGCAUGGAGAGGGAGGGAGACCGUGGCACCACGAGCACCCAGCAGGCUGCAGGGAAGGGGAUUCUCUGGGGUCCACUCUGGGAGACCCCGGCCCCAGCGUGAAAGCCCCCGCAGCGGACCCUUGCCACCCUGGGGAGCAGCGGUGCACCAGGAGACGUUUGCCGACGGCCACGGGGCCGCUGCGUGAAGAAGCUCCGGCGAGACGCGGCUUGUUUACUGGAAGGAUUAGCUAAAGCUGCCAAGCAGUCAAGGGGUCAAGCAGUUCUCAGAGCCCUCUCCGAAAGGCCUGGCGCUCAGCACAGAGGCCAAGGCACUGACCACGGGGAUGUGGCACCAGCCACACCACACGUUGCUCUGCACCUGCCUUCCCUGGAUGGGGGGGAUUGCAGUUCCCAUCGUUCCCACAGCCACAGGACACGAUGGCUGGGAACGAGAGGUGCUGCCAUCCAACACCUCUGGGGGUUGCCAGUCUGGGAAAGGCCGCUCAGAACUGUGCCGUGUGUCUGCAAGUGUCGGCAGCGGUUUUGUCGCCCGCUUUCACACAUCAGACGAUGGGGAAGACACGGUCCGGUCAAUGGGGUUUGAAAUUGAGCUUCGACGGCAUGAAAAAUACGGGGUGAGGGAAAAGGCGGGUGGGACUUAAGAGUUCCCUUGUGACUUUAAUUAAGCACUUCCUGUGUUGAAGCCCAUUUUACUGCUUCCUGAUCACUGAGGGUGCAGACUGGCCCUCUCUGAAGAGGCUCCCUUAAUUUCAGUGUUCCCAUGAGUAUCAGCUUUGCAUUAUUACUUCUCCUCCUCAUUUCGUGAAGUGUUUUGCAAUGCAAAAAGGAACACUGAAAAUGAAAGUUACGAGGAGGGCUCUGGAGACCCACCCAGUGCAGCCGCAGUACCAGGAGGCUCUUAAGCAAUCGGCCAGCAUAAAAAAUGGCAAACUACCAACAAUGGUCCAAAGUUUCGGCUGGACGAUGGGCUGCGUUGCCCCCUGCUCCAACCUUGCAUGCUGCAGAUGCGCUGCGAGGUACAGCUCCGUGCACCAGGCGGGCGCUGGAAGGGGGAGACCACAUCUGGCACGUGCGCUUGGCGAGGAGGAGGAGGAAGUGUCGCCCAACAUCUGUGCUUUCGCUGCUCCUGCUGUUACGGGUUGAGGGCCCAGCGCAGAGAGACUUAAUCCCGCCUGGGGUUUGGCCUUUUGUCAAAUGACUCCUCUCUCUGCAGGGUAAACAGCCAGGGCUCGUCAGGAAGGCCCUAAUUGCUAGUGACAUGAUUAAUGAAGGCAGGCGCUAAUGAGGCGAAGUGGCCGCAGAACAGGGACCCGGCGAAACGGUCUGGCCUGGCCACGGGUGGCCCGCACUGCCGAGUGACUCCCCCACGUCGGUCGGAGCCCAGCC
This is a long non-coding RNA of Varanus komodoensis (Komodo dragon), 4110 nucleotides long. RefSeq lists it as uncharacterized. The transcript has 3 exons. NCBI's taxonomy places the organism in Eukaryota, Metazoa, Chordata, Lepidosauria, Squamata, Varanidae. The record is from RefSeq and is a predicted model, not a curated record.